UGCUCCACAUUUGAAACAUCUAGUCUCUCUAUCCUUGGUAUCUCUAGGUGGCUCUCUUGAAGUCCUUUGUUCUUUUCCCUUAUAGCUUUCUUUGUCUCUUUUUAGCUCUCUAUCUUUGCCUUUGAGCUUGUCUUGUGGUCUUUCUCGCUCUCUCUCCUUUGUUUCCUCAUAUCUUGGAAAGCUACCCUCCCUCUUAAAAUCUCUCCUAUAUGAUGAUGUGGUAGGGUAGGUUCUUUUGGUGGAAGCUUUUCUCCUAUUUUGUUCUUCUACUCUUACACAUAGCUGGACAAAAUCAUUUAGAUCUAAGUAAGGUAAGAGUUCUACCUUAUCUCUAAUGUCAUAGUUUAAUCCAC
This 353-nucleotide long non-coding RNA is filed under the name Vigna radiata. RNAcentral's name for it is "long non-coding RNA (VRAD_LNC002001)". The record is from RNAcentral. Lineage: Eukaryota; Viridiplantae; Streptophyta; Magnoliopsida; Fabales; Fabaceae.